GAGUACCAUCGAAUCUAUCUCCCAUUCAUGAUCAUGUGGGAAUUUGUGGAUGAGACUGUCUGCUGUCAUGUUGUGUAUUCCUAGUAAGUAUGCAGCUGAUAUUAAGAUACUGUGGGAGAUGCACCAGUUCCAUAGUUUUAGUGCUUCUAUGUACACAGAAUGACACCUGGUGCCUCCGUGAUGGUUUGUGUAAUAUAUGCACGCCAUAUUAUCCGUCAUGACCUUUUUGCGCAUGUCUUUGAUCAGCAGGAGGAAGCAAGUGUACGUGUUGAUGUGGAGGCAUCUCUCACCUGGAGACCAUUUGUCCUGUAUUGUGCAAACAUUGAGAUCCGUGCGGUUAGAAGUAGAGAUGGGGAAGACUGAACAAACAGGAUUCCCAUAUAGUUGUUUACUGGGUCCUUCCACCAAUCAGAGGAUCGCUUGACCCUGGCCCAGAUUCUGAAAACAGGUCCAGUGUGGUCUGAGUGACUUGCUGGGACUCUGCAAAGGACCAUACCCUGAGAAUGCAGUCGUCCAGGUAUAUAGAUCCCAAGGGAUCGAAGAGUGACCCUCAAAUCUUUUAACAUACGGAGAGAGGCAUCUAUAUUUUCAGCAAAUAAUUUUGUCCCCCAAAAGUCUUCCACCGUCAUUUGGACCUCCUUGAGGAAGUCAGAUAGAUGAAGCCACGAGGCCUGUCUCAUCACAACGCUGUCAAAAUAGAACGUGUUGCCGUCAAAUGCACACUGGAGUGACUUUUUGCCACUAACUGGCCCUCAUUU
Molecule: long non-coding RNA, 758 nt
Organism: Gopherus evgoodei (Goodes thornscrub tortoise)
Lineage: Eukaryota; Metazoa; Chordata; Testudines; Testudinidae
Exons: 3
Source: RefSeq, a predicted model, not a curated record